GGGCCGGUAGAUCAGACCGGAAGAUCGCCACCUUGGCAUGGUGGAGGCCGCGGGUUCAAAUCCCGCCCGGUCCA
Molecule: transfer RNA, 74 nt
Filed under: Candidatus Aciduliprofundum sp. MAR08-339
Lineage: Archaea; Methanobacteriati; Thermoplasmatota
Also listed under: 1 other name
Description: tRNA-Ala (GGC) (tRNA-Ala-GGC-1-1)
Rfam family: tRNA
About the family: Transfer RNA (tRNA) molecules are approximately 80 nucleotides in length. Their secondary structure includes four short double-helical elements and three loops (D, anti-codon, and T loops). Further hydrogen bonds mediate the characteristic L-shaped molecular structure. tRNAs have two regions of fundamental functional importance: the anti-codon, which is responsible for specific mRNA codon recognition, and the 3' end, to which the tRNAs corresponding amino acid is attached (by aminoacyl-tRNA synthetases). tRNAs cope with the degeneracy of the genetic code in two manners: having more than one tRNA (with a specific anti-codon) for a particular amino acid; and 'wobble' base-pairing, i.e. permitting non-standard base-pairing at the 3rd anti-codon position.
Source: RNAcentral